RNAcentral lists this ribosomal RNA (253 nucleotides) under uncultured bacterium. Its description in RNAcentral is "partial 16S ribosomal RNA". It matches the Rfam family "Bacterial small subunit ribosomal RNA", at positions 524 to 776 of the family's 1533-position model. The record is from RNAcentral.
UACAGAGGUCCCAAGCGUUGUUCGGAUUCACUGGGCGUAAAGGGUGCGUAGGCGGUCGGGUAAGUCUGACGUGAAAUCUCCAAGCUCAACUUGGAAAUGGCGUCGGAUACUAUUCGGCUCGAGGAAUGGAGGGGAGACUGGAAUUCUCGGUGUAGCAGUGAAAUGCGUAGAUAUCGAGAGGAACACCAGUGGCGAAGGCGAGUCUCUGGACAGUUCCUGACGCUGAGGCACGAAGGCCAGGGGAGCAAACGGG